CAGGUCUUGGCAUCUAGUGCAAUCUGUAGAGAUACGGAGUUCCCUUCGGGGACGCUAAGACAGGUGGUGCAUGGCUGUCGUCAGCUCGUGUCGUGAGAUGUUGGGUUAAGUCCCGCAACGAGCGCAACCCUUGUCCUGUGUUGCCAGCACGUAAAGGUGGGAACUCACAGGAGACUGCCGCGGAGAACGCGGAGGAAGGCGGGGAUGACGUCAAGUCAUCAUGCCCCUUAUGACCUGGGCUACACACGUACUACAACGGGAUGUACAGAGGGCAGCGAAGCCGCGAGGCGGAGCGAAUCCCAGAAAACAUCUCCCAGUUCGGAUUGCAGGCUGCAACUCGCCUGCAUGAAGUCGGAAUCGCUAGUAAUCGCAGGUCAGCA
RNAcentral lists this ribosomal RNA (380 nucleotides) under uncultured bacterium. RNAcentral describes it as "bacterial SSU rRNA". It matches the Rfam family "Bacterial small subunit ribosomal RNA", at positions 975 to 1354 of the family's 1533-position model. The record is from RNAcentral.